RNAcentral lists this transfer RNA (75 nucleotides) under Candidatus Omnitrophota bacterium. RNAcentral's name for it is "Candidatus Omnitrophica bacterium tRNA-Glu". It matches the Rfam family "tRNA". Rfam says of the family: Transfer RNA (tRNA) molecules are approximately 80 nucleotides in length. Their secondary structure includes four short double-helical elements and three loops (D, anti-codon, and T loops). Lineage: Bacteria; Pseudomonadati; Candidatus Omnitrophota. The record is from RNAcentral.
GGCCCCAUCGUCUAGCCCGGCUUAGGACAUCACCCUCUCACGGUGGAGACACGAGUUCAAAUCUCGUUGGGGCUA